Molecule: transfer RNA, 87 nt
Filed under: Treponema sp.
Lineage: Bacteria; Pseudomonadati; Spirochaetota; Spirochaetia; Treponematales; Treponemataceae
Description: tRNA-Ser
Rfam family: tRNA
About the family: Transfer RNA (tRNA) molecules are approximately 80 nucleotides in length. Their secondary structure includes four short double-helical elements and three loops (D, anti-codon, and T loops).
Source: RNAcentral
GGAGAGAUGCGAGAGCGGUUGAAUCGGGCGGUCUCGAAAACCGUUGAACCCUUUAGGGUUCCGAGGGUUCGAAUCCCUCUCUCUCCG